RNAcentral lists this long non-coding RNA (722 nucleotides) under Fukomys damarensis (Damara mole-rat). RNAcentral describes it as "lncRNA (ENSFDAG00000028171.1)". Lineage: Eukaryota; Metazoa; Chordata; Mammalia; Rodentia; Bathyergidae. The record is from RNAcentral.
GGAUAUUGAAAAAGUUAAUUGGCCGACAAGUAAUCUUUCCCUUUAUCUUUGCCUCUUUUAGCAUAGUUUAAUCUACUUGCAUAUAGUUUCCGUGCUCCAGGAGAUAUGAGUGAAUCAGGAGUUAAGAGACAUGCAUCAUGAUCAAAUGAACUGAAAAACUAUGUUUUGGAUGGGGAGCAGAACCUGUGGGAAGCAGAAUUCUCCCACCUGACUAUGGAGGGAGCUCAGGGGUGCAGCAGUGGCUUAGUGUGCGCGAAGCCCUGAGUCCAACCCAGCACCGCCGGGGAAGAGAAAGAAAAGGACAUGUAGCAGAUGUAGUGUGCUUCUGUACUAACAAGACGGCGUGUUUACAAAUAAAAACAAUUCCUCUUGGGAUCUCCUUGAUUAUUUUUAAAGAGCAGCUUUUGAGUUCCAUUAAUUUAAGUUAGUUUUAUAACUUUAUAUUUGCACAUAAAUAUUCACACAAAGUUUGCAGACUGACGAUCUUACCAGUUAGUGAACGUCUACCAUGUGACCUCCUUUCCAGUGCCUUAAUAAUUUGCUGCAAGGGCCGGGGAUUUAGCUCAGUGGUUCCACCACCUGCCUUGCAGGCGCAAGGACCCGAGUUCGAUCCCUGGUACUCCCCCCACCCCAAUUGCUGAAACAAUAGCAGCAGAGAAUAGAAAUAUAAUUAUGGACAUUUCGCUUUCUCAUCAAAUGUUUAUUUGGGAAUCUAAUACUUC